RNAcentral lists this long non-coding RNA (547 nucleotides) under Parus major (Great Tit). RNAcentral describes it as "lncRNA (ENSPMJG00000019588.1)". Lineage: Eukaryota; Metazoa; Chordata; Aves; Passeriformes; Paridae. The record is from RNAcentral.
CAAACCUCUGUUUCACUUUCUUUACAAAGCCAGUAAUUGCAGAGAGGAUCUGGAGGAGCUGGAGCCACUUGAGAUGAGUGAUUUAAUGACUUCCCAAAGACUACGCCAAAGUCACCACAACUUUCCAAGAUUACCUAGGAGGGGAGGCUCUGUCACAGCAACAUGAAGAUGCUGAGCAUGGACAAACACCGAGAGAUGGACCCAGGGCCUAAUUCUACUGAUGCACUCCAGGUUACAGCAGCAAUCAGAAACUGUGUCUGUCAGACAUCGCUUCCCUGCUGGCCCUGUUAGCAUCCUGCAAGCAGAUCACAGGGGGACGUCAGGAAGCUUUGAAAAGAGCUCUUGACUUCUUGGGUGCAUAUGCAGUGUGUCACGAAGUGUGGCAGUUCCUCCAGCAUUCCCUGCCUGGCUUGCUAAUGAGAGCUGCUUUGAUUCAGCAUCCUCUUUGCCCUUGCUGUCUUGAAGGAAAUCCAGCUGAGGUGUGAAGAAUCCUAACGCUGUGAGCAGGACCAGCACUGUGCUGUCACCAGCAUGAGUUGUGGGAUGU